Dreissena polymorpha is the source of this 3342-nucleotide long non-coding RNA. RefSeq lists it as uncharacterized. The transcript has 3 exons. NCBI's taxonomy places the organism in Eukaryota, Metazoa, Mollusca, Bivalvia, Myida, Dreissenidae. The record is from RefSeq and is a predicted model, not a curated record.
ACUGCAUGUUGACAAAGCACACAACAUAUUGAUAACAUGUUUUAAUGGGAUUUUAUUAAGUGCAAAAGACAUGUACAUUUAUAAAAAAAAAUCAAAACAUUUGGUUAACAUCUUCUGUUGUGAAAAAGUGAUUACAUCUGACAGAACGGCUCUACUCAUUUAUAAAACUUGAACCCUUUCCCUAUGCAAUACAAACAAAACUGUUGCCAUAACUUAACAUCUAAAAUUUGAGAAAAUUUUUCAUUAAGGCUUCAUUAUCCCCAUGCUUUUCGGAGAAAAAGUGGGGAUAUUGUGGUUAUCUCCGUCUUCCGUCCGUCCGUCUGUCUGUCCGUCCUGGCCACUUUCUCCUCCUACACUAUAAGCACUAGAACCUUGAAACUUACACACAUGGUAGCUAUGAGUAUAUGUGUGACCCUGCACUAUUUGGAAUUUUGAUCUGACCCCUCGGUCAAAAGUUAUGUGGGUCGAGGUGGGGCCGGGUCAGAGAUUUUUACUCAUGUUUAUGCCCCCGGAUCGAAAGAUCGGGGGUAUAUUGUUUUUGGCCUGUCUGUCAUUGUAUGUGUGUGUGUGUGUGUGUCCCAAAUCUUUAACCUUGGUCAUAGCUUUUGCAAUAUUCAAGAUAGCAACUUGAUAUUUGGCAUGCAUGUGUAUCUUCAAAUUUAUACUGAAUUUCUCUUAUGGUUUAUCUCAACUAUGUAUGGCCCCAUUACCAACCCUGGGGCACCCCGCCCACAUAGGCCACGCCCACCCAAAAUUGCCUUUUACUAUAAUUUCUUCAUUUCUACACCGAUUCACAUCUAAUUGAUACCGAACUUCUCUUAUGACAAUACGUUUAAUCUCAACUAUGCACAGCCCCAUUACCAACCCUGGGGCACCCAUGGGUCAAACAUGCGGUGUGGGGAUACACGUCGGCCUCUGCCGCGCCAUUUCUAGUUUAUAUUAUUGAAAUCACCCAUAUUUGUGUAAAGUUUGGAGAAAAAUCAAGAAAAACAUAUUUUAACAAUGAAAUACAUUUAAGUUGUUUGAUGAUAUUUUCAUGUAUUUCAACGUUUCCAAUGCCCAGAUAAAUACCCUAUUUGUACCCAUUGAAAACCUUUAAAACUUUAAUUUUGCAUUGUUAUUUUGUGUAAGGCUUGAAGAAAAAAGAUUGAUCUGUAUGCAAAUGUUUACAUUAUAUCUCACAAUCAUAACAAUUUCCAAUUUAUCGACAGUGGUGACCAGGUUUUAUCAUUAUUAUAUGAUUAUUAGUGCUUGUGAUCAUAUUUCAGAUGCCCAGGGGCCUUUAUGGUUGGGUUAGGGAGGGGUGCUCCCUCCCUUCCUUAAUUGAUUUUUAGCUCCACUCGCCAAAGGCCAGCAGGGCUUAUGUCAUGGUCUUGUGUCCGUCAUGCGUGCGUCUGUCCGUGCCUGCGUGCGUCCGUCCGUGCAUUAACUUUUCCUUUACACAUCUUCUUUUCCUAAACUACUGGUCCAAUUCUGAUGAAAUUUCUCAGUAAUGUUCCUUGGGUGAACCUCUUUCAAAUUUGUUCAAAUUAUGCUCCUGGGGUCAAAUUUGACCCUGCUCUGGGGUUACAAAAUUGAACAUAAUUAUGCUUAUAUAAGGCCUAUUUUGUGAAAUCUUUUACAAUCUUCUCAUCCAUAACCAUUGGGCAUAGGGCUAUCAAAUUUGGUAUGUAGAGACAUCUAAUAGUCCUCUACCAAUUUGUUCAAAUUAUGCCCCUGGGGUCAAAUUUGAAACUGCCCUGGGGGUCACAAAAUUUAACAUAUGCUUAUAUAGGGUCUAUUUUGUGAAAACUUUACAAAUCUUUUUGUCCAUAACCAUUGGGCCUAGGGCUACCAAAUUUGGUAUGUAGUGACAUCUUAUAGUCCUCUACCAAGUUUGCUCAAAUUAUGUCCCUGGGGUCAAGUUUGACCCUGCCCCGAGGGUCACAAAAUUGAACAUAUGCUUAUAUGAGGCCUAUUUUGUGAAAACUUAAAAAAUCUACUUGUCCAUAACUGUAUGGCAUAGUGCUACCAAAUUUGGUAUGUAUUGACAAGUAUUAGUUCUCUUAUUAGUUUGUUCAAAUUAUGCCCCUGGGGUCACAUUUGAAACUGCCCCGGGGGUCACAAAAUUGAACAUAUGCUUAUAAAUGGCUAAAUUACUGUAAAAUCAUUCUUGUUCAUAACCAUUGGGCCUAGGGCUACCAAAUUUGGUGUGAAGUGACAUCUUAUAGUCCUCUACCAAGUUUGUUAAAAUUAUGCCUCUGGGGGGGGGUCACAAAAUUGAAUAAACGCUUAUAAAGCGCCUAUUUUGUGAAAAUUUUAAAAAUCUUCUUGUUGAAAACCAUUCGGACUAUGGCUACCAAAUUUGGGUUGCAGUAACAUCUUAUUGUCCUCUACCAAGUUUGUUUAAAUUAUGUCCUUUGGGUCAAAUUUGACCCUGACCCAUGGGCCACAAAAUUGAACAUUAUAUACAUUUCUUUCUUGCUUAUUUUGUGAAAACUUUUAAAAUAUUCUUGUCCUUAACUCUAGGAUCUAGGGCUACCACAUUUUGUAUGUAGUGAGAUAUAGUAGUUCUCUAUGUGUCCAAUAAUUAUGUUGAUGAAGGUGGCAGUGGUAAUGACUUGAUAAGUCUGUGAGAUAUGAAUGCCAAAGUCUUCGUUUUACAUAACAUGAAUUUUUAUGUAAAAGUGGUGGUUCUUCAUACAUUCUACAUGUUCUUUGCAAAUGAUGACCUCUACAAAGUUGUUCCAGGAGUACCAUAUUGCCUGACAAUCUUUUGUUUUAUUGUUAACUUAAACUGUACUUGAUUCUAGCAUGCCACUAUACUUCUUUGAAGUAAUUUGAGCAAAUUUCUCACUGUUUAGUAAUGUAUACAUUGUUUUUUAAGGUACAUUAUAAUUUCACAUUUUGUAGGUGGACUUCAAUAUGUAUGAUCUACUUAUGCUGCCACAAUGUAAAGGCAACAAUCACUGGGUUUUGCUGGUUGCAAGUGUUAUGUCCAGGACUGUAACCAUUUACAACUAGUUGGGUGGUAACAACAAGGCCUUGUUCGAUUUGUUCUGCCAGUUCAUGUGUCAACGAGCGCAAAUUGUGAAAGAUGGCUUGGAAAAAUUCAGUUCAGAGUUCAAAGCGCAACCUUGCAACAAACAGCGCCAUGGAAACAGCUGUGGAGUGUUUGCAUUGAUGACUGCCAAAUCUUUGGUCAAAACAGCAUCUCACAAUGUUGCGACAGGCCCAUGAUGCAGUUUAUCGAGACUAGUCGUGAGAUGCAGACUUCUGAUUCAUGGAGUGCGGCAAACAUAUCUGUGAGACUCGAUCACUCCACUGUAAAGACCCGCACAGCAUUAAAAUGGAUAUUAUCAA